Molecule: ribosomal RNA, 235 nt
Filed under: uncultured bacterium
Lineage: Bacteria
Description: partial 16S ribosomal RNA
Rfam family: Bacterial small subunit ribosomal RNA
Source: RNAcentral
CAUAACCUACGGGGGGCAGCAUUGAGGAAUAUUGGUCAAUGGGCGGGAGCCUGAACCAGCCAAGCCGCGUGAGGGAAGAAGGUACAGCGUAUCGUAAACCUCUUUUGUCAGGGACCAAAGGCGGGGACUAGUCCCCGGAUGAGGGUACCUGAAGAAAAAGCAUCGGCUAACUCCGUGCCAGCAGCCGCGGGAAUACGGAGGAAGCGAGCGUUAUCCGGAUUUAUUGGGUUUAAAG